RNAcentral lists this ribosomal RNA (468 nucleotides) under uncultured bacterium. RNAcentral's name for it is "partial 16S ribosomal RNA". It matches the Rfam family "Bacterial small subunit ribosomal RNA", at positions 28 to 507 of the family's 1533-position model. The record is from RNAcentral.
GACGAACGCUGGCGGCGUGCUUAACACAUGCAAGUCGAACGGAAAGGCCCUGCUUUUGUGGGGUGCUCGAGUGGCGAACGGGUGAGUAACACGUGAGUAACCUGCCCUUGACUUUGGGAUAACUUCAGGAAACUGGGGCUAAUACCGGAUAGGAGCUCCUGCUGCAUUGUGGGGGUUGGAAAGUUUCGGCGGUUGGGGAUGGACUCGCGGCUUAUCAGCUUGUUGGUGGGGUAGUGGCUUACCAAGGCUUUGACGGGUAGCCGGCCUGAGAGGGUGACCGGCCACAUUGGGACUGAGAUACGGCCCAGACUCCUACGGGAGGCAGGAGUGGGGAAUAUUGCACAAUGGGCGGAAGCCUGAUGCAGCAACGCCGCGUGCGGGAUGACGGCCUUCGGGUUGUAAACCGCUUUCGCCUGUGACGAAGCGUGAGUGACGGUAAUGGGUAAAGAAGCACCGGCUAACUACGUG